RNAcentral lists this ribosomal RNA (935 nucleotides) under uncultured bacterium. RNAcentral describes it as "bacterial SSU rRNA". It matches the Rfam family "Bacterial small subunit ribosomal RNA", at positions 8 to 916 of the family's 1533-position model. The record is from RNAcentral.
AGAGUUUGAUCCUGGCUCAGAACGAACGCUAGCGGCGUGCUUAACACAUGCAAGUCGUACGAGAAAUCCCGGGCAACUGGGAGAGUAAAGUGGCGCACGGGUGAGUAACGCGUGGGUAAUCUACCUUGGAGUUGGGAAUAACACCUCGAAAGGGGUGCUAAUACCGAAUAUCGUCCCUGGAGUUUCGGCCCUGGGGAUGAAAGAUGGCUGAGGCUUGCAAGCUAUUGCUCCAAGAUGAGCCCGCGUACCAUUAGCUAGUUGGUGGGGUAAUGGCCCACCAAGGCUAUGAUGGUUAGCUGGUCUGAGAGGAUGGCCAGCCACACUGGAACUGAGAUACGGUCCAGACUCCUACGGGAGGCAGCAGUGAGGAAUCUUGCGCAAUGGGGGCAACCCUGACGCAGCAACGCCGCGUGAGUGAUGAAGGCCUUCGGGUCGUAAAGCUCUGUCAGGCGGGAAGAAAGUUUUCAGGGUGAACAAUCCUGGAGAUUGACGGUACCGCCAGAGGAAGCACCGGCUAACUCCGUGCCAGCAGCCGCGGUAAUACGGAGGGUGCUAGCGUUGUUCGGAAUUAUUGGGCGUAAAGAGCGUGUAGGCGGCCUUGUAAGUCAGAUGUGAAAGCCCUUGGCUUAACCAAGGAAGGGCAUUUGAAACUGCUUGGCUUGAGUACGGGAGGGGGAAGCGGAAUUCCCGGUGUAGAGGUGAAAUUCGUAGAUAUCGGGAGGAACACCGGUGGCGAAGGCGGCUUCCUGGACCGAUACUGACGCUGAGACGCGAAAGCGUGGGGAGCAAACAGGAUUAGCUACCCUGGUAGUCCACGCCGUAAACUUUGGGCACUAGGUGUUGCGGGUAUUGACCCCUGCAGUGCCGAAGCUAACGCAUUAAGUGCCCCGCCUGGGGAGUACGGUCGCAAGACUAAAACUCAAAGGAAUUGACGG